RNAcentral lists this transfer RNA (69 nucleotides) under Triticum urartu. It matches the Rfam family "tRNA". From Rfam's summary of the family: Transfer RNA (tRNA) molecules are approximately 80 nucleotides in length. Their secondary structure includes four short double-helical elements and three loops (D, anti-codon, and T loops). Lineage: Eukaryota; Viridiplantae; Streptophyta; Magnoliopsida; Poales; Poaceae. The record is from Rfam by way of RNAcentral.
UCCAUUGCUCAGUUGGCAGAGCACAAGGCUCUUAACCCUGUGGUUGUGGGUUCAAGCCCUGCAAUGGAG